Long non-coding RNA from Rattus norvegicus (Norway rat), 5225 nucleotides. RefSeq lists it as uncharacterized. The record is from RefSeq and is a predicted model, not a curated record. Lineage: Eukaryota; Metazoa; Chordata; Mammalia; Rodentia; Muridae.
UAUAUUUAUUUUUUGUGUAUGGAUAUUUUGCCUGCCCAUAUGUCUGUAGACUUCAUGCAUGCAGUAUCCACAGAGGCCGGAAGAGGGUGUCAGAUUCCUUAGGACUCGAGUUACAGACGGUUGUGAACCCCUGUAGGUGCUGGGAAUCAAAUUUGGUCUGGGAUAGCAGUCAACAAGUACUCAUAACCCCUGACCAGCUCACUAACCACAAAUCUAGCAAUAUUUUUGUUAGUAUUAUUUAACUUGUGUAUACAUUUAAUUUUUUUCUCUGAGAUGAUGCAUCCAUUUUAUUUCAUGUUUUUUCUUUGUUUUUGAAUUAGGAUGUGUUUUAGCUUACCAGAACCUUGUUACCCUCCUGGAAAUGUUAGUUUCCAGGAGACACGGGCACUAUUUUUAUUUUGGUGUUGCUGUGUCCACCAUAGACUGUAUUAUAUGCUUGGUCUGUGACUUGUGGUUCUGUUCUGAGAGAGUCUGGGGAGGUAGGCACAGGGUGAGGCAUGUUGGGAGAUCACUAGGUCCUCAGUGCCCUUUCUCCUUGCUGUUUCAGUUAGCGUCCGCCAAGCUGUGAAGACGCUUUCUCUGUGGUCCUCUGCAAACAGUCUGCUCUGCUCAAGUGCAGGUGGAAAGGUGACUGUGGACUCAACACUCCAAUGCUGAGUCAGAAUAAGCUUUUCUAACUUAACCUUGCUUCUGUUAGGCUUUUUUGGGGAAAAAAUGUGUUUUGAGUGUUUGCCUGUGUGUAUGUCUGUACUGUGCAUGUGCCUAGUGCUUACAGCAGCCUAAGGAGGGCAUUGUACACUACUGGAAGUGGGGUUACAGAUGGUUGUUAGGCACCAUGUGUGUGUCCUGGGAAUUAAAUCUGAGACCUGUGGGAAAGCAGCGAGUGCUCCUAACUGCUGAGCCCCCUGCCUCUAGGCUGGGUAUCUCACCUUAGCCACAGAACCAGUAAUGGAGAUAGCUUUGUUCAAGCUAGUCAGGUGCUCUACCACUGAUCUCACUCCAAGCCCUAAGGCACCAGUGCUGUUUGUGAAUCUAGGCAGGUGAGAAGCUUUGUGGUCACCUUCUCCUGCUCCUAACAAGCUGUCACAUCCUCAGCACCACUGUCGUAUUCAAUAUCCAGCAUCUAGUAGCUACCAUUAAGCUGUUUAAAUGCUCUCUGAUGUUUCUACCAAGACUUUCAUGGCAAACCCCAAUAGUGGGAAGAAAGAAUCAUGGAGACAAACUUGAACUAGAACUCUAUUUCUUCCUUUUCCUGGUUGGGUGUUUAUGUCACGUUCAGCCAUACCUUUAACUUUUUGCCUAUAUUUUCUUUCCUCCUCCCCUCUGUCUCUCUUUGUCUCUGUUUCAUAAGUGAAUGUGAAGGAUUAAAAAUUAAUAAUAAGCCGCCUAGCUACCCAAAAAGAAGAGGUAGGGUCUGUGAGAACAUGAACUUUUCGCCCCUCCCUUGCUGUGCAAUGGUUCCCGGAACAUUCUUGCAUGAAAGGUUUCCUGGAACAGCCACAAUGACCCAUAGCCUCCGGCCACAAUGGUCCAAUGGCCCUGUAAAAUGUCACUACCCCUAAUCACAAUGUCACAAAGGCCUAGAUGUAUGGGCAGUUUAUGGUUUUGGAAUUCCCCUCCUCCCUCCCUCUUGAUCCCCCUGGUUUGUGGUUUUUUCCUUUAUAAGCUCUGUGAAAAUUCAGGUCGGGGUCGAACUCCUCUACUCCCUGUGUGGUGUAUGAGUCUCGACCCCAGCAUGCUGGCCUGAGCUCUCGUUUCAUCUCGCUCACAAUAAAUCUUCCUCGUGUGAUUACAGCAGGUCGGUGUCUGUGUCCUACUGGGUGCGCGUCUUUCCCGAGACUUGAGUGGGGGGCUCCCUUCGGGGGUCUUUCAUUUGGGGGCUCGUCCGGGAUCUGCGCGACCACCCAGGGGUCCUAGACCCACUUGGAGGUAAGAUUCUCUGUUUUAUCUCAGCGCUGUGUCUGGGUCUGUGUCUAUGUUCUGUCUGGGAAUCUGGUGCGAUCGCUGUUUCGGUUUUGCGGACGCUCAGUGAGACCGCGCUCCAGGAAGGAGAGCGGGGUGGAUAGGGAUAGACGUGUCCAGGUACCCACCGUCCGUUCGCCCUGGGAGACGUCCCAGGAGGACAAGGGGGGACCAGGGACGCCUGGUGAACCCCAUCUGAUAGGUCCAGAGGAGACUUUACUCCUUGACGACCGGUUUGUUAGGCAAGGUCUGCGACCUGCCGAUCAGUUUCAGUGCCUCUGGUCGACACGAAGUCGACGUCGGUUUUGUUUUCUUUUUUCUCUUUUGUUUGUGCUCGUGUGUGUGAGUGUGUGUGAAUUAAGUCCUGUAGUCUGUGUUUUUCGGUACCGGUUUAAGGUCUUAGUGCACUGUCUGGGCAGAUGAAGGAUUCCUGCCCUGUGCACGAGAGUCUUAGUGCACUGUCUGGGCAGAAGAAGGUUUCCUGCCCUGUGCACGGGUGGAAGAAGGUUCCCCACCCCGAAAUGGCGCCUGUGAGUAGAUGAAGGAUUCCUACUCCGAAUAGUCUUUUUCUUUCUUUUUUUCCUUUUUAGAAAGCGCACCGGGGGACGCCCCAAUCGCGCAGGCUCUGGGACUCGUGAGAGACAUUCCACGAGUCAGCCUUUGUUGGGUCCUGGCUCUGGGACGCAUGAGAAACGUUCCUCGAGCCGAAUUUUGUCGGGAGGACCCGGCAACGGGCAGUCAAAAAGAUCUGACUGUGACUUUGGAGGUCGAGUUCGGCUGCCUAUUUAAGUAUAGGCACGGACAAGUGUGCUUAGAUGUGUUAGUGUCUGUUGUCUGUAUUCUGUUUCUGUGUUUGGUAUCCCAGAAGCAGCUAAGGUUAAGCUGCAGUUUGGGCUAGGUACUGAAGGUACCAGGCAUCUGUGGAAAUUGGUUAUAGGAUGCUUUGUCUUGGUCUUGUUUGUCUGGAUUGUUUUCUGUGGUAUUGUCCAGUGUUUUUUUGACUUUUGUUUCGUGUUUGAAUUUGGACUGACGACCGUGUUUAAAAUCUUGGACUGACGACUGUGUUUGAAAUCAUGAAACUGUUUGCUUUGUUCGUCGAAGAGUUUUACUUGGUCCCCUUAAUGCUUAGUAAGAAACUUAAUCUUAUGGACCCCGCUCUAGUGGCGGUGUGUUGGUUGAUAGCCAAAGUUAAUUUUUAAAAUAGUGUUUUAUCUGUGCUUGUGCUCGCAGCACACAGUAGAGGGGAGCGAAAUUAGCUGCGGAGCUGCUGCAGCGAGCAUGGGGACUUCUCAAGUCUCACCCAAUUUUUCUGGCUCUUCAGGAGCUGUUUAAAAGGAAAAGGCUUAAGGUAAAAAGAAACACUAUAGAGAGAUUUCUUAGUGAAUUACUACACCUUGGUUCGCGAUCUCUGGGAAUCUCAUGGUGGACAGCUGAGAUAAGCUGGAAAAGGAUUUAAAUUUUGCUUGGGAGCAAAGAAUCUUAAAGGUGGAGUUUCAGCCGGUAUGACACUUAGUGCGUAGCUGCCUAAAAGAUCAGAAAUGCUGUUAAUAGGCUAUAAAAAAAGGGACAGGCUGUGUUAGAAAUGCUACAGAAGAAUAAUCUAAAAAGGCUGAGAGCUAGGUGGGGCUAUAAGGAAAACAAGAACAGGAAAGGAAUUUCUGACAUUUGCUCACAGAAGGAGAGUGCUCAUUUAGAGAAGUUCUUUAAGGAAGCCUGCCUUAUCUGCUGUCUUUAUUCCAAGGGAGGAGUCAGUCUCCAGCACUAAAUUACUUGGAGGUAGCCAAGGUCAGGAUUAAUGUUUUCUUUUCCAUGGGCCUUUAAACCCAGUGAGACAGUUUGGUAAAGGGCUACUACUGAGGUCCUGAUAGCCCCAGGUGAACUGGUUACAAUUCUUUUAUCAGCCCCCUGGCAUCUAGCAACCAAGUUCUAACCAUCUCUCCAUCCUUUUGUUAUUAGUUGUUACUAGAAGCCUAGUGUCAUUUGGAGGCUGGUUCUCUUGAGAGGCAAAGCCAUGGAGCUGACACUGACAAUGGCCUUUUCGUUCCAAGAAAGGCCUCCUGGUUUAGCUGUGUGACUAAAUGCUGUUUGCCCUCUUCGGUAGACUCUAUUCUCAAGAUUCUCUUGUUUUCUCACCAUCCCAUUUGAUAUGCUUGUUAGUAACUGUUACAGGUCUUCUUUACCACCGAUGAAAGACGGAAUCCUACUGGAGACCAGAAAAAAUGUUCCAGACACGGAUAGAAGGCCCUCACUUCUGCCUGCUCUCUUCAGACGCCUGAAGGCUAAAAGACCUACAGGUGAUACAGAAAGAAAUCUGCUCACAGCUGACAGCAGCCUAUGCCCCGGAGACCCCUGAGACAUCCCAUCAGUUCCAGGUUGCAGCUACACUGAGUCCAGACACUCGAGCCUCGCUGGAAAGGACCGUACCUGGUGCUGCUGACCACCCUGACAGCUGUCAAUUCUCAGCCCUCACCAGCCGUGUACUAGCUGUUGGGGCUGAGAGCUGGGACCUAGAGGGAAAUUCAGUCAUGUUUGUCCUGGGUUCUAUCAAGAUAGGUGUGGGAUAGGCUUGAUUUCCAUUACAAAUGAUGUAACAUUGCAUAUGUUAGUACUCUUAACACUUCUUGGGACUGUGCCUCAGGGAUCACAGUCCGUAUAAGCUUAGAAGUUCUAAAAGCUAGUCAUGACCUUGGUGGAUAGGCUUGGAUAGUGUCCAGGUUAGAAUCCUCAUGUUAAGACUACAAUACCAAGCUGUUAUGCUAGAUGAAGCUGAGUUCUCCAUGAAGUUCUAGGAUUAGAACUAUUAACAAAAAAAGAAGAAGUGGGGAAUGAAGAAUUAAAAAUUAAUAAUAAGCCGCCUAGCUACCCAAAAAGAAGAGGUAGGGUCUGUGAGAACAUGAACUUUUCGCCCCUCCCUUGCUGUGCAAUGGUUCCCGGAACAUUCUUGCAUGAAAGGUUUCCUGGAACAGCCACAAUGACCCAUAGCCUCCGGCCACAAUGGUCCAAUGGCCCUGUAAAAUGUCACUACCCCUAAUCACAAUGUCACAAAGGCCUAGAUGUAUGGGCAGUUUAUGGUUUUGGAAUUCCCCUCCUCCCUCCCUCUUGAUCCCCCUGGUUUGUGGUUUUUUCCUUUAUAAGCUCUGUGAAAAUUCAGGUCGGGGUCGAACUCCUCUACUCCCUGUGUGGUGUAUGAGUCUCGACCCCAGCAUGCUGGCCUGAGCUCUCGUUUCAUCUCGCUCACAAUAAAUCUUCCUCGUGUGAUUACA